RNAcentral lists this ribosomal RNA (492 nucleotides) under uncultured bacterium. RNAcentral describes it as "partial 16S ribosomal RNA". It matches the Rfam family "Bacterial small subunit ribosomal RNA", at positions 29 to 507 of the family's 1533-position model. The record is from RNAcentral.
AGUGAACGCUGGCGGUAGGCCUAACACAUGCAAGUCGAACGGCAGCACAGUAAGAGCUUGCUCUUACGGGUGGCGAGUGGCGGAUGGGUGAGGAAUAUAUCGGAAUCUACUUUUUCGUGGGGGAUAACGUAGGGAAACUUACGCUAAUACCGCAUACGAACUACGGGUGAAAGCAGGGGAUCUUCGGACCUUGCGCGAUUGAAUGAGCCGAUGUCGGAUUAGCUAGUUGGCGGGGUAAAGGCCCACCAAGGCGACGAUCCGUAGCUGGUCUGAGAGGAUGAUCAGCCACACUGGAACUGAGACACGGCCCAGACUCCUACGGGAGGCAGCAGUGGGGAAUAUUGGACAAUGGGCGCAAGCCUGAUCCAGCCAUACCGCGUGGGUGAAGAAGGCCUUCGGGUUGUAAAGCCCUUUUGUUGGGAAAGAAAAGCAGCAGGUUAAUACCCCGCUGUUCUGACGGUACCCAAAGAAUAAGCACCGGCUAACUUCGUG